This is a non-coding RNA of Phrynosoma platyrhinos (Desert horned lizard), 72 nucleotides long. NCBI's taxonomy places the organism in Eukaryota, Metazoa, Chordata, Lepidosauria, Squamata, Phrynosomatidae. The record is from the annotation of a GenBank genome assembly.
GUGAGUGUGGGGUAGUGGCUUGAGUGCUGAACUACAACUCUGGAGACCAAGGUUCAAAUCCUUGGAAACACA